CUACGUGCCAGCAGCCGCGGUAAUACGUAGGUGGCAAGCGUUGUCCGGAAUUAUUGGGCGUAAAGCGCGCGCAGGCGGAUUGGUCAGUCUGUCUUAAAAGUUCGGGGCUUAACCCCGUGAUGGGAUGGAAACUGCCAAUCUAGAGUAUCGGAGAGGAAAGUGGAAUUCCUAGUGUAGCGGUGAAAUGCGUAGAUAUUAGGAAGAACACCAGUGGCGAAGGCGACUUUCUGGACGAAAACUGACGCUGAGGCGCGAAAGCCAGGGGAGCGAACGGGAUUAGAUACCCCGGUAGUCCUGGCCGUAAACGAUGGGUACUAGGUGUAGGAGGUAUCGACCCCUUCUGUGCCGGAGUUAACGCAAUAAGUACCCCGCCUGGGGAGUACGACCGCAAGGUUGAAACUCAAAGGAAUUGACGGGGGCCCGCACAAGCGGUGGAGUAUGUGGUUUAAUUCGACGCAACGCGAAGAACCUUACCAGGUCCUGACAU
RNAcentral lists this ribosomal RNA (487 nucleotides) under uncultured bacterium. Its description in RNAcentral is "bacterial SSU rRNA". It matches the Rfam family "Bacterial small subunit ribosomal RNA", at positions 501 to 987 of the family's 1533-position model. The record is from RNAcentral.